This 488-nucleotide ribosomal RNA is filed under the name uncultured bacterium. Its description in RNAcentral is "partial 16S ribosomal RNA". It matches the Rfam family "Bacterial small subunit ribosomal RNA", at positions 30 to 505 of the family's 1533-position model. The record is from RNAcentral.
AUUGAACGCUGGCGGCAGGCCUAACACAUGCAAGUCGAACGGUAACAGGAAGAAGCUUGCUUCUUUGCUGACGAGUGGCGGACGGGUGAGUAAUGUCUGGGAAACUGCCUGAUGGAGGGGGAUAACUACUGGAAACGGUAGCUAAUACCGCAUAACGUCGCAAGACCAAAGAGGGGGACCUUCGGGCCUCUUGCCAUCGGAUGUGCCCAGAUGGGAUUAGCUAGUAGGUGGGGUAACGGCUCACCUAGGCGACGAUCCCUAGCUGGUCUGAGAGGAUGACCAGCCACACUGGAACUGAGACACGGUCCAGACUCCUACGGGAGGCAGCAGUGGGGAAUAUUGCACAAUGGGCGCAAGCCUGAUGCAGCCAUGCCGCGUGUAUGAAGAAGGCCUUCGGGUUGUAAAGUACUUUCAGCGGGGAGGAAGGGAGUAAAGUUAAUACCUUUGCUCAGUGACGUUACCCGCAGAAGAAGCACCGGCUAACUCCG